This is a long non-coding RNA of Bubalus bubalis (water buffalo), 691 nucleotides long. RefSeq lists it as uncharacterized. The transcript has 3 exons. The record is from RefSeq and is a predicted model, not a curated record. Lineage: Eukaryota; Metazoa; Chordata; Mammalia; Artiodactyla; Bovidae.
CUUCAUGAGGGAAUUGAAUUAAACAUCUACACCCGGGCUGCUUUAGGGAGGUUGCCCCAAGCCGUGAGCCUGCAGGCCCGGGGAUGACAGGCAGUGGGAGGACGUGGGUGGCCUCUUAAAGUGGGUUAAUUGAAGAGAGCCAUCUCAAGCCCUAGAGGAUUAGAAAGCGGAGCCGUAGAGAAAGGACCCUGCGGGAACUCAGAGGCAGGCAGGGCCUGGCCCAGCUCCCUCCAGGGCCCAACGAAGGAGGCACGCUGCAGGUGUCCACAGGCUAGGCCUUCCCUUCCGGCCACCCAGUGGCUCAGUCCACCCUGGGUUUGGGUUACUUAAUCCCCACCCCCUCGGGGUGUUGGACAGAGUGGCCUGUCCCUACUGCCCACUCAGGGCACUGGAGACAGGAGGAGCCAAUGGUUACUCGGUGUGGCCGGCUGCAAAGACAUCACCUGGAUCCCUCUCCAGGCUCCUGGGUCACAAUCUCUAUCUUGACAAGCCUCCUCCCGGGACCCUGUCACCAGCCUGCUCAGUGCCUUUGACAUCCUCCCAGUUCCCACACCCACAGGACGAGGUCCAGCUCUGCAACCUGGCAUUCAAGACUUCCCGACUCUACCCUGAAUGGCCUCACUCCCCUCGUCGUACUUCCUCAAGAAUCUGCCUGCCAAUGCAGGGGACACGGGUUCAAUCCCUGGUCUGG